CACGUAGGGGGCGAGCGUUGUCCGGAUUUAUUGGGCGUAAAGGGCUCGUAGGCGGCUCAGUAAGUCGGGUGUGAAACCUCCAGGCUCAACCUGGAGACGCCACCUGAUACUGCUGUGGCUAGAGUCCGGUAGGGGAGCAUGGAAUUCCUGGUGUAGCGGUGAAAUGCGCAGAUAUCAGGAGGAACACCAGUGGCGAAGGCGGUGCUCUGGGCCGGAACUGACGCUGAUGAGCGAAAGCGUGGGGAGCAAACAGG
RNAcentral lists this ribosomal RNA (254 nucleotides) under uncultured bacterium. RNAcentral's name for it is "partial 16S ribosomal RNA". It matches the Rfam family "Bacterial small subunit ribosomal RNA", at positions 524 to 776 of the family's 1533-position model. The record is from RNAcentral.